GUUUACUGUUCUAGAAUCAAUAGAAUAGGUGAAAGAAGGGAGAGAAUGCAUUGAUAGUCUUGCUCGGCGAGCUACUUACUCCCUCUUCUCGUAACCCACCUAUUAUUCAGUCAGUCAAAGAAAGAGAACGACAAAGAAGGUCAGGUAAUUGAGUAGAGUCAAAGAAAGGAGAAGGUUUGCGGUUGAGUCUUUUCAGUUGAAGGAGAAAGAGCAGCAGUUCUCGAAUCAAUAGGUUCCCCGCCUAGAGUGAAGGGACAGGUGCAGGAGUGAAAGGAAUAGAGACUGAGGCUCAGACAGGAGAAAGAAGAAAUAGGUUACAGGUUACAUUACAUCUAGUUCAGUAGUUCAGGAAAUAGAAUUGCUUUACCAAGUUCCAUUAGGAAAAGAAAGGUGAAUGAGUAAGUAGCUGCGAGAAAGAUCAGUGUUUGAAUAAGAAGGAGCAAAUAGAUUGAUAGUUUACGAGGUUCAGUAGUGAUUGAGAAUGCAUCUUGAGUUUCGGCAAAGGAUCGACCAGCAAGGUCAGUUAAAGAAUCGGUUCAGGAAAUGAAAUUGGGAAACCGAGGUGUAGAGGUGAAGGAGCGAAGCAGAGGUUCCGGUUUUCAGUUUCCUUCUUCGUCUUGACUUCCUAAUUACAGAGUGAAAGAAUAUAGAGGAGCGAAGCAGACCGAUAGUUGUAGAGCGAGGGGAAUGAGGGAAUCCCCGUGCCCCAACUUUAUCGAGACUUGAAAGUAAAUAAAAAGGUCCAUCCAAUUAGUUAGAUUUGAAUGAAUGUGUAUAGCAGCAUCUAGCCUUACGAAAGGAGAAAGAGAAGAGACAGAUCUUGUUUACAGUUCAAGAAGAAUAGCCCUACCUAGUUCAAGAAAGAAGGAAGAAGACUACCUACCUUGUUUACAGUUCAAGAAUAGUUCCACCUCAACCCCUAGUGACAGAAUCAGAGAAUGAAAGCAAAAGACGAAGAAAAGAGACAGACCCAUAAGCAUAGGAAAA
Cucurbita moschata (crookneck pumpkin) is the source of this 987-nucleotide long non-coding RNA. RefSeq lists it as uncharacterized. The record is from RefSeq and is a predicted model, not a curated record. The transcript has 2 exons. NCBI's taxonomy places the organism in Eukaryota, Viridiplantae, Streptophyta, Magnoliopsida, Cucurbitales, Cucurbitaceae.